Brassica napus (rape) is the source of this 2205-nucleotide long non-coding RNA. RefSeq lists it as uncharacterized. The record is from RefSeq and is a predicted model, not a curated record. NCBI's taxonomy places the organism in Eukaryota, Viridiplantae, Streptophyta, Magnoliopsida, Brassicales, Brassicaceae. The transcript is spliced from 2 exons.
UUUAAGAACGCUUUUCAGAGCGAUUUUUAAAAGAGUAAUUUAUAUUGCAUGACAGUUUUGAGUUUUUUUUUAACAGGAUAAUGAGUUAACACUACCAAGACAGUUUUUGUGUGAAAAGUCUUAACUUGCUCCUAAAAAAGGUAACCUAUGAUAAAAAAAAAUAGUUAGGGCGUUUUUUGUUAAGUUAGAUUUCUGAAAUUUAAAACUGGGUGGUGGACCCCCGAUGACAAACUAAAGAAGAUUAAACUCAUUUUAAAAUAUCGGACGUGUAAAAAAAAUUAGUUUUACUUUUGGGAACUUUAACUGAAGAGGAAAAAAGAAACCAAAAAGGCGAGGAUGGAGACGAGAGCGACGAGAGCGAAAUCAAAAAGUUUACGGUGUUGUUUUACUUAGCAGGAUGUCGAGCAGAUGGAGCUGGCAUGGAAAGGAGAAACCAGACGAAACGGCAGAGGUUGAGGAUGUAAAAAAGGGAUCCCGGAGCGGUUAUUCGCAACUGACCGGUACCCAAGUGAAAGGGUGAACAUGUAUUCUACCGUCGAUCAUCUCUUGGCGGCAAGAGAUGCGCUGAACAACAUACCGGAGAUGGUGAAGCUGAUUGGUUCAUGAUUUGGAAAUUUCUUCCAAAUUCCUGUUUCGGAUUGAAUGUGGCGGACGAGCAAAAGGCAGAACACGAUUCUGGGUUAAGCUUACUUUUCUUGUGCGGCUGUAUAGAUAUACAAAAAUUGUACCGUAAAUGUGUACGUAACAAAAAAGUUGUGUACAUGCAUACUCCGAAACUGGUGUAUGCAUGUGUGCAAGUACUUGUAUGUUAUACUGUUGUUUUAGUUUUCUUGAAGUUGCUUGUCAAACCAAAGAUGGAGAUUUGUGGAAGCCACGAAGAAAGGUGGAGUGUUUGGAUUAAUAUAAUGAUAUGCAUAAAUGUGUUAAGUGUAAAAUAAAAUUAUUCACAAAAAAUGAAAAUUACUUAUAGAUAUGAUACUAAUUAAUAUUAAGUUUAUAUUCAAAUACAAAUUAUAAUAACUUUUAAAAUUUCAAAAAAAAAAAACUUAUUUUGAACACCUUUUUUGGUGGGGCAAUACAAAUUUCAAAUAAUUUCAAAUAAAAACUAAACAUGUUUUUUUUUUUGUAUUACCCCCUCCCCAGAAAAAAACUAAACAUGUUUUGCAAGUGAAUAGGAAAGAGAUCUCUUUAAGGACGAGAAUCUAGCCAGCCUUGAGCAUUUGCAAGUGUAUGCGCUCUUAGACAAGCUUAAUACACUACAUGGAAGCAUACGUUUGAUUUCCGACCAAUGGAUCUAUCCAAAUUGUCCAUCAACCACGUUUACGACCCAUUUCUCCACCUCAACCAACAUCAACGGAACAUUUUGAACCGAGCUCAAUGGUUGCAAACUUACAUAUUAUGCCUUUGGAGUUGGUUAUAAACUUUAGUCAUUUGAAUGUUGGGCUUCUGAUAAAUGGGUUUAACCCAUGUUUCUAAAUAUUUGUGCACACUAUAUUUCGGGCCGUAGAGAUGUCUCUCCCGUUGGCAUUCAGCUAGGGUUUCUAAACUAUACCCUAGGGAAGCCACCUAUAUAUAAUACACAUAUACACGAUUGCAUAUUUAUCCGCAGAGUUUAGGUUAAGGGCUUUGGUUGCUGGGGAAUUAUAAUAGCACGUUAUAUCUGUUCUUCUUUGUCUAUCGUUUGGAAAAGAUUGAUGACGCCAUCUACACUUUUCCAAAUGUAGACAAAGCAAAACCGUGAUGACGUCGUAGAGAUCUUGUUGAUGGUACGAACUUGUGUUCGUCCAUCAAUUAUCUAUUUCUUUUUUUCCCAAUGUUAACAUCUGACUGCUCAUCUUGUUUUUGACUUUAAUUGAACCGUAUAUUCUCUUGUCGUCUCUCUUCUUUUUCUUUUUGCAGAUCAGGAUUUUCUUACCACGAUUUCUACUGAGAGAAGCAAAAGUACAACUAUGAAGUACUGUUCAGUCCGGCUCGGACAUGACCGACCGAACUUAUCUAUAUUCUAUUAUAACAGCAAAUUUUUUUCAUAAUACUUGUAUCUUUUAAAGACCAACAAAUUGUUCUCUUAUCUUUUGAACUAUAAUGAAGAAUUAUUCGAGAGUAAUCAACCGAUUAAGUUAAAAGAAAAGUGCGAACAAAAGCUCUGUUGUGAAGUUAUUGAUCAUUUUCUAAAUUUAAAAUAUGUUACAUCCAUUCGACCUAAAA